CGCAUCUGUGCAUGCAGCAUAUCAAUAAGCGGAGGAAAAGAAACUAACAAGGAUUCCCCUAGUAACGGCGAGUGAAGCGGGAAGAGCUCAAAUUUGAAAUCUUAAAGGGUUUCCCUUUACGAAUUGUAGUUUAAAGAAGUGUUUUCUGUUGAGGUUUUGGUAAAAGUUCUUUGGAAUAGGACAUCAUAGAGGGUGAGAAUCCCGUAUUUGACCUUUACUUUCAACUUUGUGAUACACUUUCAAAGAGUCGGAUUGUUUGGGAAUGCAGUCCAAAAUGGGUGGUAAAUUUCAUCUAAAGCUAAAUAUUGGCGAGAGACCGAUAGCGAACAAGUACCGUGAGGGAAAGAUGAAAAGAACUUUGAAAAGAGAGUUAAACAGUACGUGAAAUUGUCAAAAGGGAAGCGUUUGACACCAGUGUUGUUUUUCUGAAAAUCAAUUAAAGAACUGUUUAUGCUAAGUUGUUUAGACUUUAUCAGCUAACUGUUUAGUUUUGAGCUUUUCUUUAAUGCACUUUUCAGUUAACAAGUCAACAUCAAUUUCUUUUGCUGUAAAAAAGCUUGAGGAAGGUGGCUUGAGAUUCGUCUUAAGUGUUUAUAGCCUCUUGCCUAUGCAGUCGGAGAGAUUGAGGUCUGCAGCGUAGAUCCUUCGGGGCUAAAUGCAUUUGUGCUAAGUUAUAGCAUUUUAUAGACAACUUGUUGACUAUGAUUUGUCUUGUAGCUUACUCGCUUAUGUUAUUUUACCUACGCUUAGGAUGUUGAGCGCAUGUCUCUCUCU
This 774-nucleotide ribosomal RNA is filed under the name uncultured Neocallimastigales. RNAcentral describes it as "partial large subunit ribosomal RNA". It matches the Rfam family "Eukaryotic large subunit ribosomal RNA", at positions 26 to 616 of the family's 3401-position model. The record is from RNAcentral. Lineage: Eukaryota; Fungi; Neocallimastigomycota; Neocallimastigomycetes; Neocallimastigales.